AUCAGCCUCUGGGGACUUGGCUUCUCGAGUUUUCCAGCUGCAGGAGAGAUUAAAUGAAGCUUAACAUCUCUGUAGAAGGGCAAAGAAGACAUGACAGGGAAUUGUUUUAAAGACAUCACCACCUUUCUCUAAAAUAUGGAGUUACGGCAUAAGGUGGAAAACAAGUCAGAAAUCAGACAGAGGCCACAGGCUGCUGUGGUCAGUGUGAGGUUCCAGCGAUGAGCCUGAAUCUCCUCAACCACUUUGCUCUCGAAGUCCCUCCAACCGGCAUGUGGAAAUGGUAACUUACAUGACGAUCUUCUAAAUUCCUGGCCUCUUGAUACUGUGGUACCUUCAUGGCCUUCAGAUGUUCAGCAUCACAGCAUCAGAAGCCUAAAACUAACGCAGUGUUGUAAAUCAGCUAUGAAAGUGAAGCUGCUCAGUCAUGUCCAACUCUUUGCGAUCGCAUGGACUGUAGCCCACCAGGCUUCUCUGUCCAUGGGAUUUUCCAGGCAAGAGUACUGGAGUGGGUUACCACUUCCUUCUCCAGGGGAUCUUCCCAACCUAGGGAUCGAACCCAGGUCUCCUGCACUGCAGGCAGACGCU
Molecule: long non-coding RNA, 585 nt
Organism: Bos taurus (domestic cattle)
Lineage: Eukaryota; Metazoa; Chordata; Mammalia; Artiodactyla; Bovidae
Source: Ensembl